ACUAACGCUGGCGGUGCGUCUUAAACAUGCAAGUCGAAUGGUAACGCGGGGGCAACCCUGGCGACGAGUGGCAAACGGGUGAGUAACACGUAGGUAAUCUGCCUUCAGGUGGGGAAUAACCCGGGGAAACCCGGGCUAAUACCGCAUACAUUCAACCUUUCCACGGACUGGUUGCGGAAAGCCUUCGGGCGCCUGAAGAUGAGCCUGCGCUCCAUUAGGCAGUUGGCGGGGUAACGGCCCACCAAGACAAUACCAACGAUGGAUAGCCGGCCUGAGAGGGUGAUCGGCCACAUUGGGACUGAGAUACGGCCCAAACUCCUACGGGAGGCAGCAGUUAAGAAUCUUGCGCAAUGGGGGGCAACCCUGACGCAGCGACACCGCGUGUGUGAUGAAGGCCUCGGUUGUAAG
This 408-nucleotide ribosomal RNA is filed under the name uncultured bacterium. RNAcentral describes it as "bacterial SSU rRNA". It matches the Rfam family "Bacterial small subunit ribosomal RNA", at positions 29 to 429 of the family's 1533-position model. The record is from RNAcentral.